This 322-nucleotide long non-coding RNA is filed under the name Homo sapiens (human). Its description in RNAcentral is "HSALNT0337116". The record is from RNAcentral. Lineage: Eukaryota; Metazoa; Chordata; Mammalia; Primates; Hominidae.
GCCCCAGAAAGCUUCAUGGUCACGCCACGUAUGGGAUGCUCGGCAGCUGCCCUGGCUGGGAUCUAACAACAGGAAGCCAGCGGACCUCACGGGGCCAUUCCCAGGCUUAGAUUGAAGGGAAUCUAAGUUCGGGAAAACAAUUGGUACAGGAUGUGCAGCUUGAAGAAGCUGAGGGGAUGAGUAUACUAAAUAUGCCACACUGUCUGCACCAUGCCAGAUUUGCUAUCUGCAAUUGCACAUCUGCCAGUGACCUCUGUCUGUUACUGAAGAAGGCUGCUGGCUUCUUUGCUGUAUAUCCUGAUCACGCUGACUUCCUUCUGCA